UGUAUCUGAUAUGUGUGAUGGGUAGUCAGUCUAUGCUCGUUAUUUCAUAAUGAUUGAAGACAUUAAAGAGCCUAAAAGGCUCGACUAGAUCAUGCACAAAAAAUUGCUUAUCGAUUUGAUCUUGCGAUCCCUGAUUAGUUUAUAUGGAUAGUUUAUUAUGAACUACUAUAUGAAAGACCAUCAUGGCACCUUAUCUGAAUUGAUCAAAAUAUUGAUAACAAAAGAACCUUGAAAUAGUUCAUUUGUAAAUACUUGGAGAGCCUAAAAAAAUAAAAACACACCUAGAGUAGGUAUGUCAAAAUUGCUCAAUACAAUCCUUACGAUUUUCUCUUCUU
RNAcentral lists this long non-coding RNA (335 nucleotides) under Elaeis guineensis (African oil palm). RNAcentral's name for it is "long non-coding RNA (EGUI_LNC069074)". The record is from RNAcentral. Lineage: Eukaryota; Viridiplantae; Streptophyta; Magnoliopsida; Arecales; Arecaceae.